RNAcentral lists this ribosomal RNA (240 nucleotides) under uncultured bacterium. RNAcentral's name for it is "partial 16S ribosomal RNA". It matches the Rfam family "Bacterial small subunit ribosomal RNA", at positions 337 to 594 of the family's 1533-position model. The record is from RNAcentral.
UCCUACGGGGGGCAGCAGUGGGGAAUAUUGCACAAUGGGGGAAACUCUGAUGCAGCGACGCCGCGUGAGCGAUGAAGUAUUUCGGUAUGUAAAGCUCUGUCAGCAGGGAAGAAAAUGACGGUACCUGACUAAGAAGCCCCGGCUAACUACGUGCCAGCAGCCGCGGUAAUACGUAGGGGGCAAGAGUUAUCCGGAUUUAUUGGGUGCAAAGGGAGCGUAGACGGCUGUGAAAGCAAGAUG